GGCACUAGGAAGAGCUGGGAGCACCCAGGAGGCUAGCUAGGGGUACACACUGGGUUGCAGCUCAUUCCUUCAGGACACAGCAGACGGGAGAAUGCAAGUCACCUGAGUGAUGAGCCUGCUAUAAAACCUAAUGAAUUCCCAAACUAGACAGUUUUCUCUGAGCUGAGUUGAUCAUGUACAUAGGUAAUGCUGAACUGUUAACUGAAUCUAAAGCACGUCCCAGUGUGAAAAUGGAACUCGUGGGAAGUGGCAACUCAUUGCCUGAGGUUGCCCAGAGGCAAGUCACACGUGUACUUCACUAAUCUUGAGUGAAGACUGUUGGCUGAGACCUGAGAUUCAUGGGAUUCUCAUUCCACAGCUCAAAUCUUUGAACUGAUAAGAGCACAAACUACGUGUGAGAUUCACUACAUGUGCUCUGCAUUGAAACCUGAUAACAGCACUCUUCUGUCAGAUGAAGAAACAGUACUGAAGCUAUAAGUGGUAAAAGCGGGGUGCAAACCAGCAUUCCUAACCUUAAAUUACUGCACUGAAACACUUAAGAGAGAGGUCAAGAUCAACUUGAAUCAGUAGCCAAAAAGGAAGAAACUUGGGAACAUUCUUGAAAUGACAUUGAUUUCUCUCUGCUGGGAGUUAGUGAGGUGAAGUGAGAAAAGAACUUGGGCAGAGUUCUAACAACUGAACAGCUACCCCGGGAAGAGAGAAAGACAACAGUAAUCUUAAGAAGAGUUGAAUGUCAACGAACGUUUGAAUUCUGAGUAGAUUUUCUUUAUUCAGCUUUUUCUUCUCAGGUUAAAGUUCAUAUGUCUUGAAUUUAUUUUAACGUAUAAAACUUUGAUACUCUGAUCACCCAACAAAUAUUUUCAUGCAUGUGUUUCACAGUAAGAUUGUGAUUUAGCUCUCAUGAAGAUCUUCAAUUUUUAUAUUCUCUAAGGUGUUGUGUGUUUGACCUUGAAAUGACUGGACUUAAGAAGCUCUACUUAGAGAUCAAAGAGGUGGACUACACUAAUAAGCAGGAGGAGAGGAGAUAGGAAAUGAAUAAUUAAGAUGGAUUUAUCAGAAACAACACUGAUCUAGGCACUGGGAGAACAUCAGGGAAGCAGAGAAGAAAACAGUCCCCAUCCUCAUGGAUCUUACAUUAAAUAAAAUAUUUAAGUUUACAUAUAACAUAAAAUAUUCUAAAAGGUAGAAAUAGAAUAGAAAAUAGAAUUUUUGUAUGGAGAAAAGUGAGCUGGGACUUGAGAUGGCCAGUAUAAGUUAGACAAAUGGCCAGGAAAGACCUUGCAAAGAGGGAGACGUGUGCAUAAAAUCCGAAGUGAGUCACACAGAAUAUUGAAGGAAAAGAGCUCAAGCA
Bubalus bubalis (water buffalo) is the source of this 1351-nucleotide long non-coding RNA. RefSeq lists it as uncharacterized. The record is from RefSeq and is a predicted model, not a curated record. Lineage: Eukaryota; Metazoa; Chordata; Mammalia; Artiodactyla; Bovidae. The transcript is spliced from 3 exons.